Long non-coding RNA from Triticum dicoccoides, 1208 nucleotides. RefSeq lists it as uncharacterized. The transcript has 3 exons. NCBI's taxonomy places the organism in Eukaryota, Viridiplantae, Streptophyta, Magnoliopsida, Poales, Poaceae. The record is from RefSeq and is a predicted model, not a curated record.
AUCCCUAAAUCGACCAGUCCUCUGUUCUCCUCCCUUUCCCAAAUCAACCAGGUCUUUCACUCGCUUCUCGCUGCUGCCAACCGCUGGCCGCCGGCCUUGCCAACUUCCACGCCCUCCGUAGUGAGGGCCCUCCAGGCCGCCACGACGGGUGUGGGGUGUCUGCUGAUGUUUGCUGCUUCUUCUCCUUCCCUCACUACCUUCUCCGCUCGUGUUGCCUACUGCCGCCGACUGAUAAAUUAAUCGGUGAACUGUUGUUGAAGGGCCGAAGGAGCAAGACUGCUGCAAGAGGAAAGUAACACUGGCGAAACAGCAAACCAUGGUCCAGGAAAGCAUAUAUGUAGUUAUUGGCCAUAUGCAGGCAUCUUUUGGUCAGUCUGGUGUGUUCUAUAGUUGUCGCCAUGGACAACUUUUGGCCAGGCCGAUGUAUUCUACAGUUGAGGCAAUGGUGCACUUUUGGCCAGUCUGGUGUAUUCUAUAGUUGUGGCAAUGGAGUGGUCAUUAUCCACAAUACCAGGUUAUCUACAGAGCUACAGCUUGGAUCCGUAUGUGGUCAUUACUCACUCAUGCGGACUCCAUGGAGCUUUUGGUUAUUGGGUGCAACCGGUGGGAGACAGUAGCACGGCCUAUCUUCAGCUGAUUUGGAUGACGAGCUAAUAAUAGAAAGACUAUAGGCAUCGUAGCCUAUUCUGUUUGGCCGGAUGUGGCAUCUUUUUUGUGUUUUCUUUCGUUUUGCACUAAGAUUGUGGGCCUUUUGUGGUCCUAAGACUUUGUUACAUUACUUUUAAGAUGGUUGUAUGCAUCGAUUGAUGCAGAGGCUGGAGGUUUUUUCUCCUUUAAAAAAAUGCGACCAAGAGGAGGAGACCCCGGCACAUCUUAUCUUUGGGUGCCCUUACUCCAGAUGACAUUCCAGGGCUUGCUGCUGCAUCGUUGGCUGAAACUUCUAUCUUAGCUUGGUGGAAUGAAAUCAUUUGCCCUUUUGGAGCCAAGGCCUGCUCCACGGCCAUCUACACUCGAUGGAACAUAUGGAAGGAGAGGAAUAGGAGGAUCUUCGAUAGCAAACUCUUGCGGGAACACUAUCUGCUGGAGCUCAUCAAAACUGACAUUUUUCAGCCGGCACUCUCCAUGCACUGGCUUAGCGACACUGAGAAUGCCCUAGAACCUGAGCCUGAUUAACUUCGAAGCACUAGUUUCUAGUUUCCGUACUCCCU